AAAAAAAGAAAGAAAGAAAGAAAAAAAAUCAACACUCAAACGAAACUGAUCUUCGUACCUUCGCAUCUCCAUUUUGCAACUAUUUUUAACCGCAACCAAAACAGACCUUGUGUAUCAUUAUUUCGAAGGUCAAGGGGGGGGGGGGGGGGAGGGCGGAGAGCACCCUCUUUUAAUUUUCUAAACUUGAAUAUUAAUCAGUACAUACUAAUCAAUUCUGUCCCCUUCAUUGCAGAGAGGACUUUCAGUUUCCUGAGCCAAGAUGAACUAGAAAAGUUGAAGCAAGAAGAAGAAAGAAAAAUAGCAACGUUAUCAAAAGGCGAUUUAAAAUUGCUGCAAACUCACGCAGAAGAUUUUAUGGGUGAAGCAGGUGAAGAAGAUGAGGAAAAUGGACUAUCUGGUUCUGAUGCCUUUGUGAUACAAAACAACAAUGCAAUGCUGGCACCUCUUAAUCAAGAUGUAACCUCCCCUGGAGUCGUUCGAACUGCUAAAGCUGAAAAACGGAUGAAAAAUCGACUUAUUCAAGAUGGCUUGCUUACUGAUGAGGAAUUAGAUAAAGAGCUGUCGCGUGCAGAACAAAGAGCUCUCAAUGCUGAAAACGAGCUGCGUGGAGGCAAGCUCGCUUAAAAUCUCUUGAGCAGGUCAGUUCAUCUUUAUUUUUUUUCUUUGUCAGCAAGAAUGGAACUGCGCUGUACAGUAAUGUGAAAAUUAAAGAUUGGCAAUUGCAGAGAGUCAGAAUUAUGCUAGGGGAGAAUGGUCCCUCAUUUUUUAGGGAACACUGUGCCUUUAAUCUAUCAAAAGUUUUGGAAAGACUAAACCAAUCAUUAUUUCCUCCAUCAAUCAUCACAAAGUCCACAGCAAUUAGUUUCUGUAUUUCCUCCAUGUUCACAUGUAAGCCAGUCA
RNAcentral lists this long non-coding RNA (900 nucleotides) under Bemisia tabaci. RNAcentral describes it as "lncRNA ENSSSA2NGG003241". The record is from RNAcentral. Lineage: Eukaryota; Metazoa; Arthropoda; Insecta; Hemiptera; Aleyrodidae.